Ipomoea nil (Japanese morning glory) is the source of this 117-nucleotide long non-coding RNA. RefSeq lists it as uncharacterized. Lineage: Eukaryota; Viridiplantae; Streptophyta; Magnoliopsida; Solanales; Convolvulaceae. The transcript has 3 exons. The record is from RefSeq and is a predicted model, not a curated record.
CGACAAAAUCUCCGGCGUGGUGGUAAACCCAUUUCUCGGGUUCACUCAGGUAACACUCCGUCGUCGUCUCUUGCUGGCCGUCCGACGUCGAAAGCUGAAACCUCACCGGUUCUUUGA